UUAGCAGCCAAGAGCCUGUAGUUAAUAGGAAGGGAUUGAGAACAUUCAGGACGGUUGCAGAUAAAUAAGCCUCGAAAGAGUUAAGAUAUGAGUUGAAGACUGACUAUUUCUCCAAGGCACUGUGGAGUUUCAUGUCUGAGCUGGCUUUGAACAAGGGCUAUUAAGCAGAUGGUUCCAUGCAGUGAUAAGAGCUAAAACAAGCCCCACAUGAUGGAAAAUGUAAAACUGAUGACAGUCACUGGAAUGCUGGUCAUAAAUGAUGAUGUAAGUGGUGCUGCUGUGCUGGAAAUCAAUCCUCAAAAAUGUGAAGUACUGCACUCUGCACAAAAGCCUUGACCUGAGAGACUAGACACAGAAAUCUUGAAAGUAGAAACUGGAAUCUUGACAGACUUCCUAGGUUGUUGUCUGCUUUGCAAGUAUCUUCAUCAGAAGUAUGAUGGUCUGUGCAUCAAUAAUAAUCAUCAUCAAGCCCCAAUCAUACAAAAUACAUAAUGAAAGCAUGUAAUA
Long non-coding RNA from Hemicordylus capensis (graceful crag lizard), 507 nucleotides. RefSeq lists it as uncharacterized. The record is from RefSeq and is a predicted model, not a curated record. Lineage: Eukaryota; Metazoa; Chordata; Lepidosauria; Squamata; Cordylidae. The transcript has 3 exons.